GAGCUGACAGAGAUGGACCAUCGAAAAGCCAGGGUCCUCCCAGCUGGGCACUACUGCCCCUCGCUAGGAAUAUGGUCCUCGCAUGUCGGCAGCGUGAGGUCCUCUGUGCCACCUUCCAUCAGCAGGAACCCAGCCAUGGUGAACGAAGCCAGAGGAAACAGCAGCCUCAACCCCUGCUUGGAGGGCAGUGCCAGCAGUGGCAGUGAGAGCUCCAAAGACAGUUCGAGAUGUUCCACCCCGGGCCUGGACCCCGAGCGGCAUGAGAGACUCCGAGAGAAGAUGAGGCGGCGAUUGGAAUCUGGUGACAAGUGGUUCUCCCUGGAAUUCUUCCCUCCUCGAACUGCUGAGGGAGCUGUCAAUCUCAUCUCAAGGUUUGACCGGAUGGCAGCAGGCGGCCCCCUCUACAUAGAUGUGACCUGGCACCCAGCAGGUGACCCUGGCUCAGACAAGGAGACCUCCUCCAUGAUGAUCGCCAGCACCGCCGUGAACUACUGUGGCCUGGAGACCAUCCUGCACAUGACCUGCUGCCGUCAGCGCCUGGAGGAGAUCACGGGCCAUCUGCACAAAGCUAAGCAGCUGGGCCUGAAGAACAUCAUGGCGCUGCGGGGAGACCCCAUAGGUGACCAGUGGGAAGAGGAGGAGGGAGGCUUCAACUACGCGGUGGACCUGGUGAAGCACAUCCGAAGUGAGUUUGGUGACUACUUUGACAUCUGUGUGGCAGGUUACCCCAAAGGCCACCCCGAAGCAGGGAGCUUUGAGGCUGACCUGAAGCACUUGAAGGAGAAGGUGUCUGCGGGAGCCGAUUUCAUCAUCACACAGCUUUUCUUUGAGGCUGACACAUUCUUCCGCUUUGUGAAGGCAUGCACCGACAUGGGCAUCACUUGCCCCAUCGUCCCCGGCAUCUUUCCCAUCCAGGGCUACCACUCCCUUCGGCAGCUUGUGAAGCUGUCCAAGCUGGAGGUGCCUCAGGAGAUCAAGGACGUGAUUGAGCCAAUCAAAGACAACGAUGCUGCUAUCCGCAACUAUGGCAUCGAGCUGGCCGUGAGCCUGUGCCAGGAGCUUCUGGCCAGUGGCUUGGUGCCAGGCCUCCACUUCUACACCCUCAACCGCGAGAUGGCUACCACAGAGGUGCUGAAGCGCCUGGGGAUGUGGACUGAGGACCCCAGGUGAGGGUGGUGGCCCAGAGAUCCCCAGAGGAGGGUCCAAGAGCAGUCCCGGCUGCAGUGCUGGCUCCCCACGGUGGUACAGACGGAUGUCUGUGCCAUGGCUAGCUGGGCACACUGAAGGCUCUAGUCUCAGAGGGCAUCAGAUGGAAGAACCCAGCCUCAGUGGUGCUCCCCUGCUUCCGGCUCCCUGUAGCCAAUCCCUUGUCUCAAUUCUCUGUCCCCAUCCUCACCCAGGCGUCCCCUGCCCUGGGCUCUCAGCGCCCACCCCAAGCGCCGAGAGGAAGAUGUACGUCCCAUCUUCUGGGCCUCCAGACCAAAGAGUUACAUCUACCGUACCCAGGAGUGGGACGAGUUCCCUAAUGGCCGCUGGGGCAAUUCCUCUUCCCCUGCCUUUGGGGAGCUGAAAGACUACUACCUCUUCUACCUGAAGAGCAAGUCCCCCAAGGAGGAGCUGCUGAAGAUGUGGGGGGAGGAGCUGACCAGUGAAGAAAGUGUCUUUGAAGUCUUUGUUCUUUACCUCUCGGGAGAGCCAAACCGGAAUGGUCACAAAGUGACUUGCCUGCCCUGGAACGAUGAGCCCCUGGCGGCCGAGACCAGCCUGCUGAAGGAGGAGCUGCUGCGGGUGAACCGCCAGGGCAUCCUUACCAUCAACUCACAGCCCAACAUCAACGGGAAGCCAUCCUCCGACCCCAUCGUGGGCUGGGGCCCCAGCGGGGGCUAUGUCUUCCAGAAGGCCUACUUAGAGUUUUUCACUUCCCGCGAGACAGCGGAAGCGCUUCUGCAAGUGCUGAAGAAGUACGAGCUCCGGGUUAAUUACCACCUUGUCAAUGUGAAGGGUGAAAACAUCACCAAUGCCCCUGAACUGCAGCCGAAUGCUGUCACUUGGGGCAUCUUCCCUGGGCGAGAGAUCAUCCAGCCCACCGUAGUGGAUCCCGUCAGCUUCAUGUUCUGGAAGGACGAGGCCUUCGCCCUGUGGAUUGAGCAGUGGGGAAAGCUGUAUGAGGAGGAGUCCCCGUCCCGCACCAUCAUCCAGUACAUCCACGACAACUACUUCCUGGUCAACCUGGUGGACAAUGACUUCCCCCUGGACAACUGCCUCUGGCAGGUGGUGGAAGACACACUGGAGCUUCUCAACAGGCCCACCCAGAAUGCGAGAGAGAUGGAGGCUCCAUGACCCUGCUUCCUGACGCCCUGCGCUGGAGCCACUCCUGUCCCACCUGCCUCCUCCACAGUGCUGCUUCUCUUGGGAACCCCACUCUCCUUCGUGUCUCCCCCACCCCUGGCCUCCA
This 2455-nucleotide small RNA is filed under the name Pongo abelii (Sumatran orangutan). RNAcentral describes it as "retained intron". The record is from RNAcentral. Lineage: Eukaryota; Metazoa; Chordata; Mammalia; Primates; Hominidae.